GUUUGAUCCUGGCUCAGGAUGAACGCUGGCGGCGUGCCUAAUACAUGCAAGUCGGACGGGGUACAGAAGCAAUUUUGUACUUAGUGGCGAACGGGUGAGUAACGCGUUGGUGACCUGUCCCAAAGCGGGGGAUAACAGCCUGAAAGGUUGCUAAUACUGCAUAUGGUCAAAAGGGAUUAGAAGCUUUUGAUUAAAGGAGAAAUCCACUUUGGGAGGGGCCUGCGUCCCAUCAGCUAGUUGGUAGGGUAACGGCCUACCAAGGCGAAGACGGGUAGGGGACCUGAGAGGGUGACCCCCCACAAUGGAACUGAAACACGGUCCAUACACCUACGGGUGGCAGCAGUAGGGAAUAUUGCACAAUGGGCGAAAGCCUGAUGCAGCAACGCCGCGUGAGUAAGAAGGCCCUCGGGUUGUAAAACUCUUUUCAAGAGGAAGAGGAAGGACGGUACUCUUGGAAUAAGCCUCGGCUAACUACGUGCCAGCAGCCGCGGUAACACGUAGGAGGCGAGCGUUAUUCGGAUUUACUGGGCGUAAAGCGCGUGUAGGCGGCUUAUUAAGUUGGAUGUGAAAGCUCCUGGCUUAACUGGGAGAGGACGUUCAAAACUAGUAAGCUUGAGUACGAGAGAGGAAAAUGGAAUUCCGGGUGUAGUGGUGAAAUGCGUAGAUAUCCGGAGGAACACCAGUGGCGAAGGCGAUUUUCUGGCUCGAGACUGACGCUCAGACGCGAAAGCUAGGGUAGCAAACGGGAUUAGAGACCCCGGUAGUCCUAGCUGUAAACGAUGUAGACUAGGCGUUGGUGGAGUAAAAUCCAUCAGUGCCGGAGCAAACGCGAUAAGUCUACCGCCUGGGGACUACGGCCGCAAGGUUAAAACUCAAAGGAAUUGACGGGGCCCCGCACAAGCAGCGGAGCGUGUGGUUUAAUUCGAUGCUACACGAAGAACCUUACCAGGGUUUGACAUACAAGUGGUAGAGAAGUGAAAACGGAACGACCCUUCGGGGAGCUUGUACAGGUGCUGCAUGGCUGUCGUCAGCUCGUGUCGUGAGAUGUUCGGUUAAGUCCGCUAACGAGCGCAACCCUCGCUGUGUGUUACAAGUGUCACACGGAACUGCCGGUCAUAAACCGGAGGAAGGUGGGGAUGACGUCAAGUCAGCAUGGCCUUUAUAUCCUGGGCUACACACACGCUACAAUGGGAAGGGACAAUAGGUAGCGAAGCGCGAGGCGGAGCCAAUCCAGCAAAACUUCCCUCAGUUCAGAUUGCAGGCUGCAACUCGCCUGCAUGAAGUUGGAGUUGCUAGUAAACGCAGGUCAGCCAUACUGCGUUGAAUACGUUCCCGGGGCUUGUACACACCGCCCGUCACGUCAUGGGAGCUGGUAACACCUGAAGCCGGUAGCUUAACCUGCAAGGGAGAGCGCUGUCAAAGGUGGGGCUGGUGACUGGGACGAAGUCGUAACAAGGUAGCCG
RNAcentral lists this ribosomal RNA (1463 nucleotides) under uncultured bacterium. RNAcentral's name for it is "bacterial SSU rRNA". It matches the Rfam family "Bacterial small subunit ribosomal RNA". The record is from RNAcentral.